RNAcentral lists this ribosomal RNA (690 nucleotides) under uncultured marine bacterium. RNAcentral describes it as "bacterial SSU rRNA". It matches the Rfam family "Bacterial small subunit ribosomal RNA", at positions 36 to 774 of the family's 1533-position model. The record is from RNAcentral.
CUGGCGGCAGGCCUAACACAUGCAAGUCGAGCGCGCCUUCGGGUGAGCGGCGGACGGGUUAGUAACGCGUGGGAACGUGCCCUUCUCUACGGAAUAGCCUCUGGAAACGGAGAGUAAUACCGUAUACGCCCUUUGGGGGAAAGAUUUAUCGGAGAAGGAUCGGCCCGCGUUAGAUUAGGUAGUUGGUGGGGUAACGGCCUACCAAGCCUACGAUCUAUAGCUGGUUUUAGAGGAUGAUCAGCAACACUGGGACUGAGACACGGCCCAGACUCCUACGGGAGGCAGCAGUGGGGAAUCUUAGACAAUGGGGGCAACCCUGAUCUAGCCAUGCCGCGUGAGUGAUGAAGGCCUUAGGGUCAUAAAGCUCUUUCGCCAGGGAUGAUAAUGACAGUACCUGGUAAAGAAACCCCGGCUAACUCCGUGCCAGCAGCCGCGGUAAUACGGAGGGGGUUAGCGUUGUUCGGAAUUACUGGGCGUAAAGCGCACGUAGGCGGAUUAGAAAGCUAGAGGUGAAAUCCCAGGGCUCAACCCUGGAACUGCCUUUAGAACUACUAGUCUAGAGUUCGAGAGAGGUGAGUGGAAUUCCAAGUGUAGAGGUGAAAUUCGUAGAUAUUUGGAGGAACACCAGUGGCGAAGGCGGCUCACUGGCUCGAUACUGACGCUGAGGUGCGAAAGUGUGGGGAGCAAACA